RNAcentral lists this unclassified non-coding RNA (144 nucleotides) under uncultured Dothideomycetes. RNAcentral's name for it is "sequence contains ITS2". The record is from RNAcentral. Lineage: Eukaryota; Fungi; Ascomycota; Dothideomycetes.
CAACCCUCGAGCCCCGCUCGGUGUUGGGCGGGCCCUUUCGCGGGGCCCGCCCGAAAGUCCUAGGCGCCGCCGCCCGACCACCCGCGUAGCAGGCUCGCGCACGCGCGGGGAGGACGCCCGGCGGUAGCCCGGCCCUUCCAUCAA